AACGAACGCUGGCGGCAGGCCUAACACAUGCAAGUCGAGCGCCCCGCCAGGGGAGCGGCGGACGGGUGAGUAACGCGUGGGAAUAUGCCCUUUGCUACGGAAUAGCCUCGGGAAACUGGGGGUAAUACCGUAUACGCCCUUUGGGGGAAAGAUUUAUCGGCGAAGGAUUAGCCCGCGUUGGAUUAGGUAGUUGGUGGGGUAAUGGCCUACCAAGCCGACGAUCCAUAGCUGGUUUGAGAGGAUGAUCAGCCACACUGGGACUGAGACACGGCCCAGACUCCUACGGGAGGCAGCAGUGGGGAAUCUUAGACAAUGGGGGCAACCCUGAUCUAGCCAUGCCGCGUGAGUGAUGAAGGCCUUAGGGUUGUAAAGCUCUUUCAGCUGGGAAGAUAAUGACGGUACCAGCAGAAGAAGCCCCGGCUAACUCCGUG
RNAcentral lists this ribosomal RNA (431 nucleotides) under uncultured bacterium. Its description in RNAcentral is "partial 16S ribosomal RNA". It matches the Rfam family "Bacterial small subunit ribosomal RNA", at positions 29 to 507 of the family's 1533-position model. The record is from RNAcentral.